CUCUCUCUCCCCUCUCCCAAUGUAUCUAUCUAUUAUAAAUCAGCUGAGAGCACGAACUAUUAUAGCAUUCUCUCUCUCUCUCUCUCUCAUCAAGCAGAACAUGUUUCCACUAUGCCCUGAUCAGUGAUCUACCCUGAAUAGAUCCCACCAACUUGGCUACUAACAAGAACAGAGCAUGGGUCAAAGCAUGAGCCGCAAAGUGGGGCGUUGACCUGCCUGGAAGAGCUAUGUGUAGGCCUCGGGGAGCAGGAAAUUCGAAACCGGGAUCUUCCCCAGAAUCAUCCUCCCUGUGAUCGGCAUCGCGUGCCAGUGCAGGACAAGGUCAACCCUCUU
Molecule: long non-coding RNA, 333 nt
Filed under: Spirodela polyrhiza (greater duckweed)
Lineage: Eukaryota; Viridiplantae; Streptophyta; Magnoliopsida; Alismatales; Araceae
Description: long non-coding RNA (SPOL_LNC001109)
Source: RNAcentral